RNAcentral lists this ribosomal RNA (247 nucleotides) under uncultured bacterium. Its description in RNAcentral is "partial 16S ribosomal RNA". It matches the Rfam family "Bacterial small subunit ribosomal RNA", at positions 1144 to 1392 of the family's 1533-position model. The record is from RNAcentral.
GGAGACUGCCGGGGUCAAAUCGGAGGAAGGUGGGGAUGACGUCAAAUCAUCAUGCCCCUUAUGUCCAGGGCUUCACACAUGCUACAAUGGCCGGUACAAAGGGCUGCGAUACCGCGAGGUGGAGCGUAUCCCAAAAAACCGGUCUCAGUUCGGAUUGGGGUCUGCAACUCGACCCCAUGAAGUCGGAGUCGCUACUAACCGCAGAUCAGCAACGCGCGAAUUCCUUUCCCGGGUCUUGUACACUCCG